Hylaeus anthracinus is the source of this 3472-nucleotide RNA transcript. It is a transcript of the gene named choline-phosphate cytidylyltransferase A-like, with no coding region annotated. Lineage: Eukaryota; Metazoa; Arthropoda; Insecta; Hymenoptera; Colletidae. The transcript has 11 exons. The record is from RefSeq and is a predicted model, not a curated record.
UGUUAUUCGGCCCUGUGUGUAUGUUGAAGCGCGUGCAGUGUGUAGAAUUUCCACGCAAGUGUCGUGACGGGCGUCUGCUGGGUCAGCUGUUAAAUAAUAUGUAACAGUGAUUUGAAACACGAAAUACCUGUUACAUUUCACAUUAGUGUUUCGUAAAUUGUGCUGUAAACCUAGCUCGGUAAACAUCCGUUGAACUCUACGAAUUUAACACACUUCUAACGGAACUCUUCGAUUUUUCGUCAUAUCCUAUUACUUGUGGAUGUAGUAGUCGUGUGUAAGGAAAUUAGGGCGUGAAAAGGUUCGUUUAGUUCAAUUGGACAUUUUGAAAAUUUGUUAAGAUACUACAUGGAACAAUAGAUAAUUCAGAUGACGUCAGGUUAUCGAAAGCCGGGUCAACAAGUUACUUAUUUAGUUCUGUACACGUUCCUUGUAUCGUUAAAUUAUCACGUUGCAGUUUCCACAGAGUGAACGAAUAUGUAUGAAAUUUUAUUAAACAAUUACGUGUAAUAUCACCAGCCAUUAAGAUAUUCUACAAACAAAUCUUAUAACCAUGAUUCAUGAGCAAUACAGCUACACUAAUGAUCGUUGUUAAUAAUCGUGAAAGAACGUAGGAAAACCAGAACUUAUAUGGGCCUAUCAUUGAUACAAUAGAAAAUGUCUAGAAAGCGUGCCAGAGAAGAAACUAUGUUGAAUUCUACAUCACAUUCAAAUAUACAAAAUGGAGAAAUUGCAUCCUGCUCUACCGAAGAUUUGCCAGCCUACCCUUUGGUGACAAUGACUUGGGGGACCAACAGGACAUCAAAUAAUGACUCAGGUCAAAUUUCACUGAAAAAAAUAAAUAGUGAAAUUUCUGUUUCCCACAAAGAACUUCCAUCGAUUUGUAAGGAAGCACCUUUUAGCGAUGAUUCUGAAGCACUUGCUGAAAGGAAUGCAUGUGAUUACAAUAUUCGUAUCACGUUAAAAAUGGCGAAAAGUGGUAAAGCUCCUAGGAAAGUCAGGGUAUAUGCAGAUGGUAUUUACGAUCUCUUUCAUCAAGGACAUGCACGACAACUCUUACAAGCUAAAAAUAUUUUUCCUAAUGUAUACCUGAUUGUAGGAGUUUGUAAUGAUGAACUGACUCACAGUAAGAAAGGAAGAACAGUCAUGACAGAUAUUGAAAGGUAUGAUGCAGUAAAGCAUUGUAGAUAUGUAGAUGAAGUGGUUAGAGAUGCUCCUUGGGAAUUAGAUGAUGAAUUUCUUACAAAACAUAAGAUCGACUUUGUAGCACACGAUGACAUACCUUAUAUGACAGAUGAUAGUACAGACGUUUAUGCUGCACUAAAAGCUAAAGGUAUGUUUGUAGCCACACAGAGGACAGAAGGAGUAUCCACAUCAGACAUUGUAGCCAGAAUAGUUAAAGAUUAUGAUAUUUAUGUAAGAAGAAACCUUGCACGAGGUUAUAGUGCCAAAGAACUUAAUGUUUCUUUUCUCAAUGAAAAGAAAUUCCGAUUACAAAAUAAGUUCGACGAUUUAAAAGAUAAGGGUAAACGUGUUAUGGAAAACAUUGGUGAAAAACGUAUGGAUAUGAUCAGCAAAUGGGAAGAAAAAUCUCGAGACUUUAUCGAUGCUUUUCUACUACUAUUUGGCAGAGAGGGCAGAUUGUCUACAAUUUGGAAUGAAAGUAAAGGUCGGUUGAUGCAAGCAUUAUCUCCCCCUGCAAGUCCAAAAAGGGAUGGCAGCCCAAAUGGCAGUAGUAGCAGCAAUAAUGAUGAAGAUCAGAUAAGGUACAUCACAGCAUUCGAGUCAAUUGACUAACAUGCAACACCACUUCAUUUUGUACUGCUUCUAUAUGAAAACCUUCAAUACUUCACACCACCCAUUUGCAGCAUGUUAUUCCACCGCCGAAAAAGACUGGCCGUUUCGAAUUGUCACGGAAUAAUUACUAUUUAAGUGAUGAUUAUAGCGACGAUGAGGAGGAAAAUUUACACUACAAAUGAUAACCCAUUUCCCAAGAAUAGCAUUCUGACCAAAUAUACUGUGCAAUCUCUCCAAGAAUGUUUAGAGAUAUUUUCAUACAGCUAUGUGAUCUGCUGAUAUGGAUUAUAAUGCUAUGCUUGAUAGUCUCUGUAUGGCAUGAUUUCUUAUAGAUUACACAUAGAAAUCGCAUAGAUUAUUUAAAACAUCUGUUAUGACUACUUUCAAGAAUUUUUCAUUAUCAUUACUUGCAUUCUUAAUAAGUUCCUAUGUUGUGAACGAUAAUUUAUUAUAUAUUUUGAAUUGUAUAAUUAACUGCAAGAGUUUACAAUAGACAAGUGACAUAUUCUUAUUUUAUAAAUCUGUUAGUAAUUUAAAUGUCCAAUUCAUGGUUUAUAACAAUUUUCAAUUACUUUCUUACGAAUUUUAUAUAACAUUUUGUACAAGUUACCUCAUAAUUAAUCGCUUAAAUAAUGUUACAUAUGCAGUCAAUAUUUUUGUUGCAAUGUAUAUUAAAUUAUACUUCAGUUUUCAAGUGUUUUACUAGAUAUAGAUAAUGUGUAUGAUAAGAGUAUUAUUUAUUUUUACUUUUGGUACAUAAUUACUCUGUUAAUAAUGUAUAGUUCAAGGCUAACAUGUGGUAGGUGAGCAUCAGAUUUAAAUCUGAAGUUGAACAAGUAUGUCUAAUAUUUAUAAAAUACAUCUAUAAAACAAAAUGUAAAAUACCAGGAAAGUUAUUACUUUCCUGAAACACAUCAAUUUAUUAAACAGGAUUUGAUGAUUAAGUAAAUUAAGUUGUUGGUAAUGAUCAGUAGUUGAUGCAAUUAAAUUUAUAUUUAGAAAAAAAAUGUAUCUUUAUAAAUGAAUAACAUUUUCUUUCUGAAAACAUACCAAUGGUGCCUGAGUUGAAACUUUUAAUUUAAUUACAUGCAAAUUGGUACACUGUUUCUUCAAAGCAUGCAAGAACAUUUUUAACAUUAAUGUUUGUUUAAAGAGUAACUGGUGCAUAAAUUAAUAAUGUAUAAUAAUGUGAGAUAAGAAUAGUACUUGCAAUUGUGUUUAUUAAAUGAUGAGACGAUAUUGUGUAGUUAAUAAUUUUCUUUUAAAAUCAAAACUCUUGAAUAGUGCAAAAUUAUAUAUUUUUAAAGCAAAAUAUUCAUAUAUUCAUAAUAUCACAAAUCAUGUCUGCUUAAAUAUGAAUAAGAAAUGUAGUAACUUGUGCGUUCAUGUUAUUUGUAUAAGAGGUUAAAAACUAAUAAAAGUUGUUCAACGAAUGCUUAAAAAUUGUUUUAAAGUUCAAUUGAAUAAGAUUAAUUAGUUGCAACGUAUUUUCAAAUACUUAUAGAUCACACUGUAAAAUAUAGUUUAUGUAUUUAUGCCUUUUUAGUAUAGUUUUAGUAUAUGUUUUUUUGUUAGUAUAAGAGGUUUAUUAAUACUCCAUUUGUGAAAAAUUUAUUGUACUGUAAACACGUUAAUUUACUUUUAAAACUGUAAUAACAAAUUAUUGAUGAAAUUUUAA